GGUUUGCUUUCACAGCAACUCACAGCGUUCCCAACCUCAAUGUUCAAUAAAGAUAACAAACUCCAACAGGCGCUAGGACAAAUAUGGCGCACCCACUGCAAACACAGGUGUCAUCUCUGUCUGAAUGUGUGUCUGCACAGUCAGUCACACAGUACAGUUUACUCUCUCAAUAAACUAAGAAGGAACAUGUGCAUACCCUUUACCUGCAUGCCAAGAAGCUAUGAAUCAUUUAACCAGGUCAAAGUUCAAAUCUAAUCUGUAACAAUUAAAAUGAACAGUUAGGAUUAGUGUUUGAUGCUUCACCAGACAAUACCUGUGAC
Molecule: unclassified non-coding RNA, 320 nt
Filed under: Hevea brasiliensis (rubber tree)
Lineage: Eukaryota; Viridiplantae; Streptophyta; Magnoliopsida; Malpighiales; Euphorbiaceae
Source: RNAcentral